GAUGAACGCUGGCGGCGUGCCUAAUACAUGCAAGUCGAGCGAACAGACGAGGAGCUUGCUCCUCUGACGUUAGCGGCGGACGGGUGAGUAACACGUGGAUAACCUACCUAUAAGACUGGGAUAACUUCGGGAAACCGGAGCUAAUACCGGAUAAUAUAUUGAACCGCAUGGUUCAAUAGUGAAAGACGGUUUUGCUGUCACUUAUAGAUGGAUCCGCGCCGCAUUAGCUAGUUGGUAAGGUAACGGCUUACCAAGGCGACGAUGCGUAGCCGACCUGAGAGGGUGAUCGGCCACACUGUAACUGAGACACGGUCCAGUCUCCUACGGGAGGCAGCAGUAGGGAAUCUUCCGCAAUGGGCGAAAGCCUGACGGAGCAGCGCCGCGUGAGUGAUGAAGGUCUUCGGAUCGUAAAACUCUGUUAUUAGGGAAGAACAAAUGUGUAAGUAACUAUGCACGUCUUGACGGUACCUAAUCAGAAAGCCACGGCUAACUACGUG
RNAcentral lists this ribosomal RNA (497 nucleotides) under uncultured bacterium. RNAcentral describes it as "partial 16S ribosomal RNA". It matches the Rfam family "Bacterial small subunit ribosomal RNA", at positions 28 to 507 of the family's 1533-position model. The record is from RNAcentral.